UACAGAGGGUGCGAGCGUUAAUCGGAAUUACUGGGCGUAAAGCGUGCGUAGACGGUUAUUUAAGUCAGAUGUGAAAGUCCCGGGCUCAAUCUGGGAAUUGCAUUUGAGACUGAAUAGCUAGGGUACGGUAGAGGGAAGUGGAAUUUCCGGUGUAGCGGUGAAAUGCGUAGAUAUCGGAAGGAACAUCAGUGGCGAAAGCGACUUCCUGGACCAGUACCGACGUUCAGGCACGAAAGCGUGGGGAGCGAACAGG
RNAcentral lists this ribosomal RNA (253 nucleotides) under uncultured bacterium. RNAcentral's name for it is "partial 16S ribosomal RNA". It matches the Rfam family "Bacterial small subunit ribosomal RNA", at positions 524 to 776 of the family's 1533-position model. The record is from RNAcentral.